This 235-nucleotide unclassified non-coding RNA is filed under the name plant metagenome. RNAcentral's name for it is "partial contains small subunit ribosomal RNA, internal transcribed spacer 1, and 5.8S ribosomal RNA". The record is from RNAcentral.
UUUCCGUAGGUGAACCUGCGGAAGGAUCAUUAACGAGUAAGGUUCAUUCUGGCCCGACCUCCAACCCUUGGUUUACUUACUAGGUUACUUUGGCGGGUCCUUUUCACGACCUCCGGAAGUCCUGGGACUUCUCUCCCGCGCCCGCCAAUACCCUUCUACAAACUCUUUAAAAAUUGUGAUGUCUGAGUAAUAAAUUUAAUAGUUAAAACUUUCAACAACGGAUCUCUUGGUUUUG